UACAGAGGGGGCAAGCGUUAUUCGGAAUUAUUGGGCGUAAAGGGCGCGUAGGCGGCUUUUCAAGUGACGGGUGAAAGCCCUCGGCUUAACCGAGGAACUGCCUGUCAGACUGGAAGGCUUGAGACCGGGAGAGGUGAGUGGAAUUCCCAGUGUAGCGGUGAAAUGCGUAGAUAUUGGGAGGAACACCAGUGGCGAAGGCGGCUCACUGGACCGGAACUGACGCUGAGGCGCGAAAGCGUGGGGAGCGAACAGG
Molecule: ribosomal RNA, 253 nt
Filed under: uncultured bacterium
Lineage: Bacteria
Description: partial 16S ribosomal RNA
Rfam family: Bacterial small subunit ribosomal RNA
Source: RNAcentral